UACGUAGGGCGCAAGCGUUGUCCGGAAUUAUUGGGCGUAAAGAGCUCGUAGGCGGCUUGUCACGUCGGGUGUGAAAGCCCGGGGCUUAACCCCGGGUCUGCAUUCGAUACGGGCAGGCUAGAGUGUGGUAGGGGAGAUCGGAAUUCCUGGUGUAGCGGUGAAAUGCGCAGAUAUCAGGAGGAACACCGGUGGCGAAGGCGGCACUCUGGGACGGUACUGACGCUGAGACGCGAAAGCGUGGGGAGCGAACAGG
This 253-nucleotide ribosomal RNA is filed under the name uncultured bacterium. RNAcentral describes it as "partial 16S ribosomal RNA". It matches the Rfam family "Bacterial small subunit ribosomal RNA", at positions 524 to 776 of the family's 1533-position model. The record is from RNAcentral.